AUUGAACGCUGGCGGCAGGCCUAACACAUGCAAGUCGAGCGGAUGAAGGGGGCUUGCUCCUGGAUUCAGCGGCGGACGGGUGAGUAAUGCCUAGGAAUCUGCCUGGUAGUGGGGGAUAACGUCCGGAAACGGGCGCUAAUACCGCAUACGUCCUGAGGGAGAAAGUGGGUGAUCUUCGGACCUCACGCUAUCAGAUGAGCCUAGGUCGGAUUAGCUAGUUGGUGGGGUAAAGGCCUACCAAGGCGACGAUCCGUAACUGGUCUGAGAGGAUGAUCAGUCACACUGGAACUGAGACACGGUCCAGACUCCUACGGGAGGCAGCAGUGGGGAAUAUUGGACAAUGGGCGAAAGCCUGAUCCAGCCAUGCCGCGUGUGUGAAGAAGGUCUUCGGAUUGUAAAGCACUUUAAGUUGGGAGGAAGGGCAGUAAGUUAAUACCUUGCUGUUUUGACGUUACCAACAGAAUAAGCACCGGCUAACUUCGUG
RNAcentral lists this ribosomal RNA (484 nucleotides) under uncultured bacterium. RNAcentral's name for it is "partial 16S ribosomal RNA". It matches the Rfam family "Bacterial small subunit ribosomal RNA", at positions 30 to 507 of the family's 1533-position model. The record is from RNAcentral.